CAGUAUGGAAUAUGGACACGCUUAAAUGUCGAGUGAAAGAAGUUAUGCCAUCAAAUAGUUGCUCCAAUCUUUCCUUUCGAACCAAGCACAUUUAGAUACAAAAUCUUCGACUCAUCUUAUAAUUUAUUAUAUGAAAAGUUUUACUUGAUGGUAAGAUAUGCUUGGAGAAUAUUCUUCUAAUCUGAUGAUAGACGGUUAUUUUUCCGUUGCAGGUGAAUUUGAUAGCUAAACUAAGCCAUCCAUAUCUUUUAGAGUACAAAGAUGCUUGGGUGGACAAGGGGAGCUGUAUAUGCAUCGUUGCCGAUUAUUGCGAAGAUGAAAAUAUGGCGGAGGUCAUGAGGAAGUCUAGAGGAGCACUAUUCCCGGAAGAGAAACUCUGCAAAUGGCUGACUCAUCUAUUGUUAGCUUUGGAGCAUCUGCAUUCCAACCGCGUUCAUCAUAGAGACCUCAGGUUAUGUAACAUAUUCAUCACAAAGGACA
Molecule: long non-coding RNA, 480 nt
Organism: Capsicum annuum
Lineage: Eukaryota; Viridiplantae; Streptophyta; Magnoliopsida; Solanales; Solanaceae
Exons: 5
Source: RefSeq, a predicted model, not a curated record